RNAcentral lists this ribosomal RNA (418 nucleotides) under uncultured Glomeromycotina. RNAcentral's name for it is "SSU rRNA". It matches the Rfam family "Eukaryotic small subunit ribosomal RNA", at positions 676 to 1092 of the family's 1831-position model. Lineage: Eukaryota; Fungi; Glomeromycota. The record is from RNAcentral.
CGUACUGGCAUUGUUGGUUUCUCCCUUCUGACGAACCAUGAUGUCAUUUAUUUGGUGUUAUGGGGAAUCAGGACUGUUACUUUGAAAAAAUUAGAGUGUUUAAAGCAGGCUCACGCUUGAAUACAUUAGCAUGGAAUAAUGAAAUAGGACGUUUGAUUCUAUUUUGUUGGUUUCUAGGAUCGACGUAAUGAUUAAUAGGGAUAGUUGGGGGCAUUAGUAUUCAAUUGUCAGAGGUGAAAUUCUUGGAUUUAUUGAAGACUAACUACUGCGAAAGCAUUUGCCAAGGAUGUUUUCAUUAAUCAAGAACGAAAGUUAGGGGAUCGAAGACGAUCAGAUACCGUCGUAGUCUUAGCCAUAAACUAUGCCGACUAGGGAUCGGAUGAUGUUAAUUUUUUAAUGACUCAUUCGGCGCCUUACG